CAGCAGUCAAGAAUAUUAGUCAAUGGCCUAACGGCCGAACCAGCAAUUUGGGGGAAUGUGAUAUCUUUUAGUCGGGAUAUCAAUAUUAACGACUAUGUCGUAUAAAGUUCUAGAUAGAUGAUUGAUUAUGACAGUUUUCUAUCUAUAUGUCUUGACCAAAUCUUGUGCCAGCAGUCGCGGCAAUACAAGGAAGACUAGUGUUAUUCAUCUUAAUUAGGUUUAAAGGGUACCUAGACAGUAUUUCUAGCCUCCAAAGGGAACAGACUUACUAGAGUUUUAUGUGAGAGGAAAAUAUUAGAACCAUUGGAGUAGAGAUAAAAUGUUUUGAUACUAAUGGGACGGAUAACGGCGAAGGCAAACCUCUAUGUAAUAACUGACGUUGAGGGACGAAGGCUUGGGGAGCGAAUAGGAUUAGAUACCCUAGUAGUCCAAGCAGAGAAUUAUGAAUGUUAUAGAUUAAAAUAUUUGGUGUAUAAAUGAAAGUGUAAGCAUUCCACCUCAAGAGUAAUGCGGCAACGCAGGAACUGAAAUCAUUAGACCGUUUCUGAAACCAGUAGUGAAGUAUGUUAUUUAAUUCGAUAAUCCGCA
Molecule: ribosomal RNA, 588 nt
Filed under: Ochrocladosporium elatum
Lineage: Eukaryota; Fungi; Ascomycota; Dothideomycetes; Pleosporales
Description: SSU rRNA
Rfam family: Bacterial small subunit ribosomal RNA
Source: RNAcentral